Molecule: ribosomal RNA, 485 nt
Filed under: uncultured bacterium
Lineage: Bacteria
Description: partial 16S ribosomal RNA
Rfam family: Bacterial small subunit ribosomal RNA
Source: RNAcentral
GCCUAACACAUGCAAGUCGAGCGGCAACGCGGUGGGUAGAGAUACCUGUUGGCGGCGAGCGGCGGACGGGUGAGUAUUGCGUAGGAACCUGCCCAGUAGAGAGGGACAGCCAUUGGAAACGAUGGAUAAUACCGCAUGUCCUCGGGAGAGGAAAGUUGCCUGAGAAGGUGACGCUACUGGAGGGGCCUGCGUCCGAUUAGCUAGUUGGAAGGGUAAGAGCCUCCCAAGGCGAAGAUCGGUAACUGGUCUGAGAGGACGACCAGUCACACUGGGACUGAGAAACGGCCCAGACUCCUACGGGAGGCAGCAGUGGGGAAUAUUGGACAAUGGGGGGAACCCUGAUCCAGCGAUGCCGCGUGGGUGAAGAAGGCCUUCGGGUUGUAAAGCCCUUUAGGUUGGGAAGAAGGGUAUGGGAGGAAAUGCCUAUACUUUGACGGUACUGACAGAAUAAGCACCGGCAAACUCUGUGCCAGCAGCCGCCGUAA